CCAGCGCUGGGCCGGUUAAGGAAGAGGUCGGCGCCCUCCUGCAGAUGUGCGGGGAUGCGCGCCCGCCGCAACGUGAGGCUCAUAGGCCACACGCAACUCUGAGCAUUGGCCAGGACCUGUAGUAGCCAACAGGACACUUAAUAACUGAUGUAUAGGUGCGCACUGUGUGUCCAGAGCUUUACGUUAACCACCUCACUGUGUCAUCUCGCUGAGGUUGUGUGGUUUACUAUUACUGUUAUUAGCGCAUUUUUAAGCGGGAAACCUGAGGCAUGAGGAGGGUCAGUCCUCGACCUUGUCCCCCCAAAUUGCUCCGUCUCUGAGUCCAGACUCUGAAGUUCGGCUCUGCCUGCCACCUUAAGUUAUCCCAUGUGGCCUUACCGUCAGCCUAGUCUUUGACUGCAGGGAGACCUCUCUUCCUGAAGAAGACGCCUCUUUUCAUCCAUUCACUCUGGAAAUGAUUCAACGUCUGCCUGCUGCUGAUGCUUUGCUCUCCACCAGGGGUUUUCGAAGUGUGCUUCCCCGUUCCCCCCGAGCCUAUAGCAUCAGCAUCAGGGAACUUGUCACUAACGCACAUUAUUGGGCCCCAACCCAGAACUACUGAAUCAGCAACUUGGGGUGAGGGCCGGUCGCAGUGGCUCACGCCUGUAAUCCCAACACUUUGGGAAGCAGAGGAGGGUGGAUCACCUGAGGUAAGGAGUUGAGGACCAGCCUGGCUAACAUGGUGAAACCCUGUCUCUACUAAAAAUAGAAAAAUUAGCCAGAUGUGGUGGCGUGUGCCCAUAAUCCUAGCUACUCGGGAGACUGAGGCAGGAGACUCGCUUGAACCCAAGAGGCGGAGGUUGCAGUGAGCCAAGAUUGCACCACUGCACUCUGGCCUGGGCGGCAGAGUGAGACUCCGUCUCAAAAAAAAAAAAAAAAAAAAAAAGGAACUCAGGGUGAGGCCCAGCCGGCUGUGGUUUUAUGAGCUCUUCAGGGGAUACUGAUGCGGGAUCAAAUUUGAGAAGCACUGGUCUAGGUCUUAGAUCCUCUUGGUUCAGUUUCCUCAUUGGAUCUCAGGAAUGUUCAGCUACACUCUCAGGGCAACUUCUUACUUCACUUGACCUUCCAAGACCUCUCGUUCUGUCAAACCCCAAUUUUGGAUCAACCCAGGCAUGCUUCCCUCAUGUGUUCCCAAGCUGGUCAGAGUAGUCUACACUACUAUCUGCUUCAACUGCUAGUAACGUCUAAGCCUUCAGCAGUUUUGCUUAUGAAACUGCUUCACUGAAGUUCUCCACCACCAAGUAGUCAGCUGGCAUCGGAAUUCGGCUUGUGUCAAAUGGAACUCAACAUCUUCCUCUUCAGGACAUCCCCUAUUUUCAUCCUCCCAGUGA
Molecule: long non-coding RNA, 1370 nt
Filed under: Pongo abelii (Sumatran orangutan)
Lineage: Eukaryota; Metazoa; Chordata; Mammalia; Primates; Hominidae
Description: lincRNA
Source: RNAcentral